This 329-nucleotide ribosomal RNA is filed under the name uncultured Prochlorococcus sp. RNAcentral's name for it is "bacterial SSU rRNA". It matches the Rfam family "Bacterial small subunit ribosomal RNA", at positions 137 to 499 of the family's 1533-position model. The record is from RNAcentral. Lineage: Bacteria; Bacillati; Cyanobacteriota; Cyanophyceae; Synechococcales; Prochlorococcaceae.
AGGGGGAUAACGGUUGGAAACGACCGCUAAUACCCCAUAUGCCUACUGGUGAAAUGAAUUUCGCCUGAGGAUGAGCUCGCGUCUGAUUAGCUAGUUGGUGAGGUAAUGGCUCACCAAGGCUUCGAUCAGUAGCUGGUCUGAGAGGAUGAUCAGCCACACUGGGACUGAGACACGGCCCAGACUCCUACGGGAGGCAGCAGUGGGGAAUUUUCCGCAAUGGGCGAAAGCCUGACGGAGCAACGCCGCGUGAGGGACGAAGGCCUCUGGGCUGUAAACCUCUUUUCUCAAGGAAGAAGAUAUGACGGUACUUGAGGAAUAAGCCACGGCUA